AUACGGAGGGUGCAAGCGUUAUUCGGAAUCACUGGGCGUAAAGGGUGCGUAGGCGGUUUGGUAAGUCUGAUGUGAAAUCCUAUGGCUCAACCAUAGAACUGCAUUGGAAACUGUCAGACUAGAAUACUGAAGGGGCAGAUGGAAUUAGUGGUGUAGGGGUAAAAUCCGUAGAUAUCACUAGGAAUACCGAAAGCGAAAGCGAUCUGCUGGGAAGUUAUUGACGCUGAGGCACGAAAGCGUGGGGAGCAAACGGGAUUAGAAACCCUAGUAGUCC
RNAcentral lists this ribosomal RNA (274 nucleotides) under uncultured bacterium. RNAcentral describes it as "partial 16S ribosomal RNA". It matches the Rfam family "Bacterial small subunit ribosomal RNA", at positions 523 to 796 of the family's 1533-position model. The record is from RNAcentral.